UUGAAGAUUGUAACCUUGGGGUUGGCUCUUGUCUAUGUUUCUUGGAACAGGACGUCACAGAGGGUGAGAAUCCCGUGCGAUGAGAUGCCCAAUCCUAUGUAAGGUGCUUUCGAAGAGUCGAGUUGUUUGGGAAUGCAGCUCUAAGUGGGUGGUAAAUUCCAUCUAAAGCUAAAUAUUGGCGAGAGACCGAUAGCGAACAAGUACAGUGAUGGAAAGAUGAAAAGAACUUUGAAAAGAGAGUGAAAAAGUACGUGAAAUUGUUGAAAGGGAAGGGUUUGAGAUCAGACUCGAUAUUUUGUGAGCCUUGCCUUCGUGGCGGGGUGACCCGCAGCUUAUCGGGCCAGCAUCGGUUUGGGCGGUAGGAUAAUGGCGUAGGAAUGUGACUUUACUUCGGUGAAGUGUUAUAGCCUGCGUUGAUGCUGCCUGCCUAGACCGAGGACUGCGAUUUUAUCAAGGAUGCUGGCAUAAUGAUCCCAAACCGCCCGUCU
Molecule: ribosomal RNA, 488 nt
Filed under: Meyerozyma carpophila
Lineage: Eukaryota; Fungi; Ascomycota; Pichiomycetes; Serinales; Debaryomycetaceae
Description: partial large subunit ribosomal RNA
Rfam family: Eukaryotic large subunit ribosomal RNA
Source: RNAcentral